This 630-nucleotide ribosomal RNA is filed under the name Triticum aestivum (bread wheat). RNAcentral describes it as "partial small subunit ribosomal RNA". Lineage: Eukaryota; Viridiplantae; Streptophyta; Magnoliopsida; Poales; Poaceae. The record is from RNAcentral.
AUGGUACAAUGGCGGUUCACGGGCUUUUAUGGUCAUCCAAACUGGAAUGACCGCAGUUUAUCUUCGGAAGACAUUCGUAAUCUGCAUAGGAAGGGGAACCAUCCUUGGGUAAUUUUGGGGGAUUUCAAUGAAAUAUUAUAUACUUCGGAGAAAGAGGGUGGUAAUAUGAGACCAAAUGGCAUGAUGAGGGAGUUCCGUGAAUGUCUUAUGGACUGUGGUUUGGAGGAUUUAGGAUAUAUCGGCUAUCCCUUUACUUGGAGUAGAGGUGACAUUCGAGAGCGUCUUGACCGUGAAGUGUGCAAUCUAGGGUGGGCUCAUAAAUUUCCUCGUGCGGCUAUGAUUAAUGAAGAACAUGUUCACUCUGACUACCGUCCGGUGGUCCUGGAUAUGAACUAUUUGGGUGAUAAUAUUUUCAGACGAUCGACGGGGUGUGUAAAACAAUUUGAAGCCAAAUGGCUAAAAGAAGAGACUGUUAAUGAAAUCAUGAAGGUAUCUUGGGAAAAAGGUAAGUUAGCAGGCGUUGGUCCUUCCCUUGCUGACCGUACGAAAGCUGUGCAUGCCGAUUUGCACCACUGGGACCAUGAGAUUCUUAAGGGUCCUAAGUGGAGAAUUAAAAAUUGGAAAAAAUAA